RNAcentral lists this non-coding RNA (30 nucleotides) under Homo sapiens (human). Lineage: Eukaryota; Metazoa; Chordata; Mammalia; Primates; Hominidae. The record is from RNAcentral.
AACCAACACAAGAGCCUUACAGUGCCCAAA